RNAcentral lists this ribosomal RNA (253 nucleotides) under uncultured bacterium. RNAcentral describes it as "partial 16S ribosomal RNA". It matches the Rfam family "Bacterial small subunit ribosomal RNA", at positions 524 to 776 of the family's 1533-position model. The record is from RNAcentral.
UACAGGGGGUGCAAACGUUGCUCGGAAUUAUUGGGCGUAAAGCGCGCGUAGGCGGCUACUUAAGUCGGAUGUAAAAGCCCUUGGCUCAACUGAGGAAGUGCACCCGAAACUGAGUGGCUAGAGUACGAAAGAGGGUCGCGGAAUUCCCGGUGUAGAGGUGAAAUUCGUAGAUAUCGGGAGGAACACCGGUGGCGAAGGCGACGACCUGGGUCGAUACUGACGCUGAUGAGCGAAAGCGUGGGGAGCGAACAGG